GAGUUUGAUCCUGGCUCAGGAUGAACGCUGGCGGCGUGCCUAACACAUGCAAGUCGAGCGGGGUGUCAGUUGACACCGAGCAUCUUUGGAAACAGGGGUGUUGGGUGUUGACUGGCACUUAGCGGCGGACGGGUGAGUAACGCGUGGGUAACCUGCCUCAUACAGGGGGAUAACAGUUAGAAAUGACUGCUAAUACCGCAUAAGACCACGGUACCGCAUGGUACAGUGGUAAAAACUCCGGUGGUAUGAGAUGGACCCGCGUCUGAUUAGGUAGUUGGUGGGGUAACGGCCUACCAAGCCGACGAUCAGUAGCCGACCUGAGAGGGUGACCGGCCACAUUGGGACUGAGACACGGCCCAGACUCCUACGGGAGGCAGCAGUGGGGAAUAUUGCACAAUGGAGGAAACUCUGAUGCAGCGACGCCGCGUGAAGGAUGAAGUAUUUCGGUAUGUAAACUUCUAUCAGCAGGGAAGAAAAUGACGGUACCUGACUAAGAAGCCCCGGCUAACUACGUGCCAGCAG
RNAcentral lists this ribosomal RNA (522 nucleotides) under uncultured Eubacteriales bacterium. RNAcentral describes it as "bacterial SSU rRNA". It matches the Rfam family "Bacterial small subunit ribosomal RNA", at positions 9 to 514 of the family's 1533-position model. Lineage: Bacteria; Bacillati; Bacillota; Clostridia; Eubacteriales. The record is from RNAcentral.